RNAcentral lists this ribosomal RNA (632 nucleotides) under uncultured Piscinibacter sp. Its description in RNAcentral is "bacterial SSU rRNA". It matches the Rfam family "Bacterial small subunit ribosomal RNA", at positions 28 to 658 of the family's 1533-position model. Lineage: Bacteria; Pseudomonadati; Pseudomonadota; Betaproteobacteria; Burkholderiales; Sphaerotilaceae. The record is from RNAcentral.
AUUGAACGCUGGCGGCAUGCCUUACACAUGCAAGUCGAACGGUAACGCGGGGCAACCUGGCGACGAGUGGCGAACGGGUGAGUAACGCAUCGGAACGUGCCCAGUAGUGGGGGAUAGCCCGGCGAAAGCCGGAUUAAUACCGCAUACGACCUGAGGGUGAAAGCGGGGGACCGAAGGGCCUCGCGCUAUUGGAGCGGCCGAUGUCAGAUUAGGUAGUUGGUGGGGUAAAGGCCUACCAAGCCGACGAUCUGUAGCUGGUCUGAGAGGACGACCAGCCACACUGGGACUGAGACACGGCCCAGACUCCUACGGGAGGCAGCAGUGGGAAUUUUGGACAAUGGGCGCAAGCCUGAUCCAGCCAUGCCGCGUGCGGGAAGAAGGCCUUCGGGUUGUAAACCGCUUUUGUCGGGGAAGAAACGCUCUGGGCUAAUAUCCUGGGGUAAUGACGGUACCCGAAGAAUAAGCACCGGCUAACUACGUGCCAGCAGCCGCGGUAAUACGUAGGGUGCAAGCGUUAAUCGGAAUUACUGGGCGUAAAGCGUGCGCAGGCGGUUGUGCAAGACAGAUGUGAAAUCCCCGGGCUUAACCUGGGAACUGCAUUUGUGACUGCACGGCUAGAGUGCGGCAGAGGG